This is a non-coding RNA of Peromyscus maniculatus bairdii (prairie deer mouse), 3747 nucleotides long. Lineage: Eukaryota; Metazoa; Chordata; Mammalia; Rodentia; Cricetidae. The record is from RefSeq and is a predicted model, not a curated record.
UCACUGGUCAAGGGGAACCUGGUCCCAUCCCUUCAUCUCAAACCUCCCAGGUGCUUCUUUGGGAAGAGAGGCCUCGGCCUCAGUGGUAAGCCUGGUGCCUGAGGCGAUUAUGGUGCCAUCUGAGGGGUCUGGAGGGAAGCGCUGGCUGUCGGCCCAGAGUUGCAGAAACCUUGAUUGUUGGGGACUGAGAGGAGAGGAGGACAGAUCGACAAGCAGACAGAUUUUCAAAAUGUCCCUUGCUCCGGUCUUGUAUUUACUUUUCUAUUUCUCCAUUUCUCGGUGGGCCUUUCUCGGUUUCUUCUGAGAAUCCCUCUCUUGUCCUUUUGUGAUUUCCUGCGGUGUCUGUCUCUCAACUUCCAGCUGCACCCAACGGUCCCGAGUUCUCUUUUUCUCGGUCUCCUGAACCUCAUUAGUUUCCUUCCCUUGCUCUGCCUUAGUCUGUUUUUCUGAUGACCUCUCAGACUUUUGUCUCAGACUCUGUUGCUCUUUUGAUGUCUCUGUUGGUGACUCUUCCUACAUAUCUGCUACCCUUUGGACGUUCUGUCUGUCUGUUUCCCCCUUCUCGGACAGCCUGGCUCUCUCUGAGCCCCUGUGUGUGCCCCCCUCUUUUCCUGGUGCUUGAUUCUUCCAUUGUUGCAGUCCGGAUGCUGGGACUUCGGCCCUGAGCUUCCUGCUCUGGGUCCCAGACCGAUCCACUUCCUCAACCCUCAGCAGUUUAUAAGUCGAGGAAAGCAGGAUGCAGGGAAAACAGGAAGGAGGUGGACCCCAGGGCUGCCUCUCUGCCCUUCCUGCCCCUGGCCAAGGAGAGAUGGGUCAGCAGAAAUAUUCUGGGAGAAGUGCCAGACUGGCACCCAGCGUUGCUGGAGGGGGAGGGGGUCCUGGGAGAGUGAGUCCUUGAUCUUGGGGCAGUGAGACCAGGAGGGAGGGCUGCGUUUAGGAUGCCUACUUUGCCCUCUACCAGCUAGUGGGCAUCUAGCAGCAGGUGAAGAUGGCUGGUAGUCUCCUCUCACCUCAACUUGAGCACCAGCCAGAAGAGAGCUGCAAGAGUCUUCUCUUCCGGUUGAACAGAAACAUCCCUACAUCGCGACGGAAAAACCAAUCCCCUUGGGGGUUAGGAAGGCCCGGCACAGUGUCUGAUUGUUCUGUGGAUGUGAGGCAAGUCAGCUUCUAGAGAAGUCUAGGAGUGGGGUGCCUGUAGGUCUGUUCUGGAAUUCAGAGCCCAAGUCACUAAUUCUCUCACUUCCUGGACUUGUCUUCUACCCACACCACGGAUACAGCUGUGUGAAGAGGUAAAAACAGAAACCAGAAGGACCCUGGACACAGACUUUUUUUUUUUUUUUUCCAAUAUAAGGUUUUUCUGUGUAGCCCUGGCUGUCCUCGAACUCUCUCUGUAGACCAGGCUGGCCUCAAACUCACAGAGAUGCGCCUGGCCCUACCUCCUCCGUGUCGGAAUUAAAGGUGUGCACCACCACCACCUGGCUGACAUUAGACACUCAAUUGGCAAGCUAAGGUCAAUGCUUUCUAGUCAUCACAGUACUUCCCUGUCAUGACCUGACACCUUUGCAUCAUGGGAGGAGUACCCACAGAGCCUUGCAGGGUCUCUGGUGAAAUACUGAGCAAGGCUCAGCCCCUAUCUCAUUCCUUACACUGUCAAUAGGCCAUUGUCCCUUCUCAGUCUCCUGGUUUGGGACCCGGAACUCAUUUGGUCAAAGGUGUCAGUCUAUUCUUCCCGCUCUUUGCUCUUGGGACUGAGCUCCAGAUGAUCAUCUAAGUAAGUGGUCCUUUGGCACGAGCUCUUCAUCUUAUUUUUUUCUAGGGCCAGGUUGUCCCUUCCAUUUCCAGUCUGCCUUGCUUUCCUUUGUGACAGGUUGGGGAUCAGCACUACCAAGGCCACCAGAGGUGGGGACCGGUGCAUGCGUCAUAAGUCUACAAUUUCACAUCCUCGAUUCUUGAAAUCCAAGAGAAUGAUGUUCGAUGGAGAGGUCAAGCUUGGGACAGGGAGUUCCUAAACCAGGCAUUAGGUCCCUCCGGGACAGGGUUAGGGAACAGGCAGGCUGGGUUAAUUUUUAGUCAACACAGCAAAUAUUGUCCGUACUUCGGUACUGGGAAUGUAGUCAUGCCAUGGAAACUGGGCCUUCCCAGACAUUCCGUGCUUUAGGGGAGAGGGGAGGAAGAACAUGGCUGCCUAGAGUUUUUCUUUAAUACCAAUAAAGCCCAAAUUAUUGAUGCUUAAAGUGGCCAAAGACAAGUCUCCCUCUUCUCCACUUCAGUUUCCUCCUUGGUCAAAAGCCUCAUCGUUUUGAGGUGUUUGGCACAGAGUGGAAGGUCACUAGGUUGGAUGAGGGUGAGGUGCAGAUGAAGAAGCCAAGGGACUUUGCAGAGCCCAGGGUAAGGGAGAGCCCCAGGAAUAGAGAGGGGUUGCUUGUUUUUGGGUGCUCUCUUGUCUCAUUAGAGGCCAGCAGUAGGGAGCAACAAGUAAAGGGCACCCCUUGAUCAAAAUCUCAAAGAAACAACCUGGUGUCUGUCAUGGGUGGUCUUGGGUUCUUCAGCCAAGGUCUAGGGGAUGAAGGAAGAGAAAGGUAUUUUUGGUGGGCAAGUGGGUGACUCUCCAAAGCAUGGCUGAAACGUCUGAGUCUGGGUGGCAGAACCCACUCAAUUCUUAGCUUGGGCGUCUUGGAGGGGUUAGGGGCUGGUCCUGAAGAGAAAUCCUGGGGGGUGAAAUUAGGGAGCAGGAACUUUUGCCUCUACUGGAGCCGGAGCUGUACACAGCUUCUCCCUGGGGGCUCGCUCCUUGCCCUGCUCUGCUAUGGAGCGAAGAGCAAGACUUUGCCAUGGCUGGAUGGCAGUCUGCCCAGCUCCACACAGGAGCUAGAGGAGAAGACCUGCUCCACUUCGGCAGCUCCACUUCCUAGACAAGCUUCUUGGAGACCUAACAAGAGGAGGAGGCUGCCUCCAGCUCCUGCUCAGGAGCAUUGGGACCUUGGUAGAGGGCAUUAGAAGCUGGAACAGUGCCGGGAAGUUAAUGUUUUUGAGAGGUCCCUAGAGAUGGACUCUCCAGGUAAGCAUGGAUGGACAAGGAAAAGUUACAGAUUAAAGGAAGAGUCAACAAACCAUGGCCAGAGAGACUGGGAUAUUAGUGAGUCCUGGCUUGGUCUAUGUUUUUGACUAGGGUAGGGUCAGAGUACGUGAGUGGGUGUAGAUGUGCACACCUGGAUGAGCAUGUGUCUGGACAUGUGAUUGUCCGUAAACAUUUGCGGUUCUGUGUUGGUGGGUGGAUGUGGACUUAAUCUGUGUUAUGCCCCAAGACAGAUUAGAAGCUAUUCUCCUAAAAUGGUGGACUUUACUCUAAGUGUAGAUUCGAACCAGGGGUCACUGGGCUAGGCCAUGGAGACACCCAUGCUCAGGGGCUGCUGACUCAGCGUGCCCAUGGCAGGCUGCUGACUCAGCUGUGUCCAUGAGGUGCUUUAAUUCUGAUGUCAGUGUAAGCCAUGCUUCUAGGCUCACUCUAGGUCCCAUGUAGCUCUAGGUUUCAACAAGCUACUCAGUUGUUCUCAUUAACGGUGAACGUCUCAAAUGCCCACGGAUAAGCCCCCAAGGACUCCUCAUGGUUGGCUUCUACUCACAGAAAUGCCACAUUGGGAAGCAGAAUUGUGGUCAAGUCUCCGGGCCACCUUUUUCUGGACUCUUGAAGGCUCAUCAUAUCAAAACUCUGGGACUGUAGGGUGGGCGUGCUAUCUCCUGAGGCAA